CCGAAAUCAGUCGUUUCGACGUCUUUGACUUUUACUUUCGUUCAAUAUCGGGUUGAUCCAAUUAAACAGGUGAAGUGUUUUUGAAUAGAAAAAAUAGUUGCCUUUGAGACGGAAACGAUUUAUAGAGCAUUGUAUGAAGCAGAAUUUUUACCCUUUGGAAAGAAUGAUUACAUGUAGAAUGAAUCUUCGAGUAACAGAUCGGUGACACAGACAUGGUCCUUUCAGCCAAUCAUUCACAAAAGAACAAGAAA
Molecule: long non-coding RNA, 251 nt
Organism: Dendroctonus ponderosae (mountain pine beetle)
Lineage: Eukaryota; Metazoa; Arthropoda; Insecta; Coleoptera; Curculionidae
Exons: 3
Source: RefSeq, a predicted model, not a curated record